GGGCCCGUAGCUCAAUGGUCAGAGCAACCGGCUCAUAACCGGAUGGUCGCAGGUUCGAUUCCUGCCGGGCCCACCA
Molecule: transfer RNA, 76 nt
Filed under: Chloroflexota bacterium
Lineage: Bacteria; Bacillati; Chloroflexota
Also listed under: 3 other names
Description: Chloroflexi bacterium tRNA-Ile
Rfam family: tRNA
About the family: Transfer RNA (tRNA) molecules are approximately 80 nucleotides in length. Their secondary structure includes four short double-helical elements and three loops (D, anti-codon, and T loops).
Source: RNAcentral